CCUACGGGUGGCAGCAGUAGGGAAUAUUGCUCAAUGGGGGAAACCCUGAUGCAGCGACGCCGCGUGAGUGAAGAAGUAUUUCGGUACGUAAAGCUCUAUCAGCAGGGAAGAAAAUGACGGUACCUGACUAAGAAGCCCCGGCUAACUACGUGCCAGCAGCCGCGGUAAUACGUAGGGGGCAAGCGUUAUCCGGAUUUACUGGGUGUAAAGGGAGCGUAGACGGCAGCGCAAGUCUGGAGUGAAAUCCCAUGGCUUAACCAUGGAACUGCUUUGGAAACUGUGCAGCUAGAGUGCAGGAGAGGUAAGCGGAAUUCCUAGUGUAGCGGUGAAAUGCGUAGAUAUUAGGAGGAACACCAGUGGCGAAGGCGGCUUACUGGACUGUAACUGACGUUGAGGCUCGAAAGCGUGGGGAGCAAACAGGAUUAGAUACCCCAGUAGUC
RNAcentral lists this ribosomal RNA (440 nucleotides) under uncultured bacterium. Its description in RNAcentral is "partial 16S ribosomal RNA". It matches the Rfam family "Bacterial small subunit ribosomal RNA", at positions 338 to 795 of the family's 1533-position model. The record is from RNAcentral.